CUCUCUCUCCGGCAAUGCGAAGAAAAUCUCUCCCCCUUCUCCCUGGCGGCUCUUCUCGGUGUUCUUAAGGAGGAGAGGAAGCCCUAAAAACAGGGUUUCCUUCUUCGGGAUGGAACCAGUCCAUCCCGUCGCCUCACGUGCGUCGCACGUGAGGCCGGGGUUUUGGGACUGGGCCGGUCAUUUGGACCGAGCCCAGUUCCGGGGUCUUACAUCCCACCCUCCUAAAAAAAAUUUCGUUUCCGAAAUUUGCGUACCUGCAGUUUUAAAAAAAUUGAGAAUACUUCUUCCAAAUCAAGUCAUAACACUCUUCAAAUCCAAGUCGUCUUGUCUGACCAAUGUCAAAUAAUUCUAUUCACCAUACUUUCUCUGCACACUCUGAUUUAAACCUCAACAUACCCGUGUCAAGUCUAGAUUUUUUUUUCUAAGAAUUACUUGCUUGUUGGUACAUUCAUUAUUAUGCCUUAUUCUGUGUGAACACUUUCGAAAGUUAAAAGUUUAUAUUCUUCUUUUGACAAUCAAUCAAAAAAUGUUAUGUAACUAUUUAAUCUUUUCUAGCAGCAUAAUGAGUUAUCUAACAAAGAGCAGUGGGCAUGACAAAACAAUAAAUAGAAAUAAAUAUUGGGACUAGAUUAAUACCUGUCGUCAACACAUCAGAUGCCUGUGCAUCUUGCUGUGUAAAUGCAAAUACUCUUCCUUGAGUCUUUGGCCCCCGGCUUCCUUCCAUUGCCUGAGUAGAUCUAUUCUCGUUUCUUUGUGGGCAGUCUGCAAUUUUAUGACCUAUCUUACCACAUCUAAAACAGGCACCGGUGUUCCAAUGACAAUCCUUGUCAGCAUGAGCCUUACCACAUCUAGAACAUUUAUUGAUAUUCACCUACUUAGGGUUGUCACUCGUUGAUUUCUUGUUUGAACUUUCGGCGUUUUCAUUGCUCUGCCCCUGAAAUUCAUUCGAUCUGUUCCUCUUCUUUUGAUUUCUUUCCCUUUCCAACCAUUCAUCAUUAACUUUCCUUUCAAUUAUUAAAGCUUUAUUUACCACAGCUGCACAGGUAGUCAAUUCAUAAAGGUACCACUUGUUUUCUAAUUUCAGUCUUUAGUCCCAUCUCAAAUUUAUGCGCUCGAUCUAGUUCAUCUUCGACUAACUUUGGAACAAAUUUGGCUAGCUCGGUAAAUUUAGCUUCAUAUUCUGCAACAGUCAUAUUUCCUUGCUUUAGAUGAAUAAACUCCUGCUCUUUCUGCGUCCUUA
Molecule: long non-coding RNA, 1240 nt
Filed under: Phoenix dactylifera (date palm)
Lineage: Eukaryota; Viridiplantae; Streptophyta; Magnoliopsida; Arecales; Arecaceae
Description: long non-coding RNA (PDAC_LNC011482)
Source: RNAcentral